Long non-coding RNA from Patella vulgata (common limpet), 1499 nucleotides. RefSeq lists it as uncharacterized. The record is from RefSeq and is a predicted model, not a curated record. NCBI's taxonomy places the organism in Eukaryota, Metazoa, Mollusca, Gastropoda, Patellidae. The transcript is spliced from 3 exons.
AUUACUUAUAUUAGACGGUAGGUAUAAAAGACUGGUGUCACUAGUAAACAUUAAUAGACAGAUUCAGUAAGGUUCAGAUCCAGAGUUUUGUAAUAUCAUCAUCAUGAAGUGUGUCAUUUUUUUAGUGAUUGUCGCUUCCUUGUACUUGACAUCAGCUGAAGAAAAUGAAGUUGAUGUUAAUCUUAGGAAAGCCAUGGAAGCCAUUAAUACUAUUGUCAAGAGAGGUUCCGAAGAAUCUGCCAACAUUGAAAAACGAGAGAAAGGUAUUCAUGUAAACGGGCGCUGCAGUAGUCUACUUGAAGACUGCAGCAGUGUACAACAUUGCUGUGGUGCAUUGGAGUGCCGAACGACAAAUGGAUAUUAUGGUUUUUUUGGUGGAAACUGCCGUGCACCAUAACAAAUUCUUUUAUAUGUUAAGUGUUUGUUAAGUAUUUACAUAAAUUUGAACGAAUAAAAAAUCGUGUUUUUUUUUUAUUACAUACUUUCAAUAGCGAAGACAAAUAAAAAGAUAUUUGAAAAGCAAGAACGUAAUAUAUCAAUCAGGAACCGACCAUACGUCAUCAGGGCCAUAGGAGUUCGUCAACCGAUGCGCAAUAGUCCCAAGAACAAGCGGGCGAAGUUUCAUGUUCAUUGGGUGGUUUUUUUUUCGAAUACCAUUGCCCCAAGAAAAAUGCACAAACACAACUACGAAGUGUACGGAAUCGGUAUUUUUAUUCAAAAAACGAUACACAUAUUAUAUUACCGUCUUCGUAGACUUGCACCCACUUCAUUAAUGAUCCAUUCGUGUUUCACAUCCAGCCAAAAUGUAUCAAGAUACUUAUUUCUGACGAGUACCUAUUAUACGAUCUUAUUGCUGGAGAAAUGAAACGAAAUGCCGUAUUAUGUCCCACUGGAUUAACAAAGACGGACAUUAUGAAGAUUGGCAUAUGUCAUAGUGUGCUAUGAGGGGAAAGUUUACCUUGACAGCGGCGCUAUGGCCUAUUCUUAUAUCGAAUUCCAUCUGGCAAGGGAUCAUUUACGUACACGCUGUUGUGUACACGUCCUACCCGAACGCCUAUACGUUGUCCCUUGGUCCUACACCACUGACAAGGGGAAACACGUCGGAAAAUCGAUGAACUUUCUAGGCGAACACAGGGAUCGAACACGAGCCUUCACGUUAACGAACCAACGUCUUACUGAACCACUGGACACAGCUGCCGUCAUUCCAUGAAGCACCGUACCUAACUUAUUAGUAACAAAUUAGGCGUAUUGGCCUUACUAUUCGUUUGUGCUUAAGAAGUAAGGUACAACAACUAAAUUAGAUAUCAAGUGAAACCACGACAAGGGUUCGCACCACACUGAUCAGCUGUGAAUUUUCGCUAAGCCGCUACAAUCACUGAUAAGGAUGACAUCGAUGCGACUUAAUGAGUCCUAAAUAUUAACUUUUUUCUUCCGUCAAAUUAAAUUUUGAAACAUUUUUUUCAUGUAUUAGAAAAAUAAAUAAAGCCGUUUGAAUUAUU